Long non-coding RNA from Diachasmimorpha longicaudata, 329 nucleotides. RefSeq lists it as uncharacterized. The record is from RefSeq and is a predicted model, not a curated record. NCBI's taxonomy places the organism in Eukaryota, Metazoa, Arthropoda, Insecta, Hymenoptera, Braconidae. The transcript is spliced from 2 exons.
UUAACCACAAGAGCCUCAAACGAUCACUGGGAAAGCCUCGAUUGUUACAGCUCCUCAACAACAACUCGAACAAACUUUUACCAGGUCGAAAUGGAGUUGGUUAAAGUUUGGCCUGGAGGGCUGCAUUAUCAAUACAGGUUAAUUAUUCAGCGUGAGCUACGUCACGAAAGGUUGACGAUUAUUUGGUGACAUUAAGGAAGAUAAAAUGUUCCACCCACUCGGUUAAAACAGCUGUACCCUUCCAGAUAUUCAUUGAGAUGAGAAAUUCUGAAAAUUGUUGAUGUAACUUUGGAAAAAAUAAAUAAAAAAUAGAUGGAAUUAUUUAUUGA